CGGGGUUGGGUCUAACACAUGCAGUCGAGCGGAUGAUGGGAUCUUGCUCUCUGAUUCCCGGCGGACGGGUGAUUAAUGCCUAUGAAUCUGCCUGGUAGUGGGGGACUCGUCUCGAAUGGGACGCUAAUACCGCAUACGUCCUACGGGAGAAAGCAGGGGACCUUCGGGCCUUGCGCUAUCAGAUGAGCCUAGGUCGGAUUAUCUAUUUGGUGAGGUAAUGGCUCACCAAGGCUGCGAUCCGUAACUGGUCUGAGAGGAUGAUCAGUCACACUGGAACUGAGACACGGUCCACACCCCUACGGGAGGCGGUUGGGGGGAAUAUUGGACAGUGGGCGAAACCCUGAUCCACCCAUGCCGCGUGUGUGAAGAAGGUCUUCUGAUUGUAAAGCUCUUUAAUUUGGGAGGAAGGGCAGUAAAUUAAUACCUUGCUGUUUUGAUGUUACCGACAAAAAAGGCACCGGCUAUUUUCGUGAAAUUUCCCGCGGUUAUACGAAGGGUGCAGGCUUUACUCGGAUUUACUGGGGAAAAAAACGCGCCCAGGUGUUUUUUGUUAGGCCCCAAAUAAAAACCCCCGGGUUUAACCCUGGGGGGCCGUUUUUCAAAAGGGGGGAAGCUAAAGUAGGGGAAAAGGGGGCGGGAAAUUCCCUGGGGGGCCCCCGAAAGUGUUUUACAAUUUUUUUUAGAACCCCUUUGGCCAAGGGCAACCUCCCGGGGGUAAACCCCCCCACUUUUUGUGCACAAAAGUGGGGGGUACUCCCCCCGGGGGGGUACCCUUGGGAAAUCCGGGGGUUUAUAAAAAUUAUUCAAAAAAUUUUUGGGGUUUUUGAGGAAAUUUUCUGGCCCCCCCCUAACCACAUUUUUUUCUCCCCCCCUUUGUGAGAAAACACCCCCCCCCCGGUGUGAAAACCCCGGGUGUUUUUUUUUUGGGGGGGUCACAACAAACACGGUGGGAGCGGGGGGGGGGUCCCUCUAAAACCACACAAAAAAACUCUUCACCCCGCCCUCAAUAUCACGGAGGAAGUUUUUCAUAAAAAAUAUGAGGGGUGGUUCUUUUUCUCACUACGACACUACAACAAAAAAACCCGGGGGGGGUAUUUCUAUGCUCAGGUGGUUUGUAGAUUGCAUAGGUGUGUAUGUUUUUUUCAACAAAAAAAAACACCUCUUUCCUUCUCUUACUCUAUCAUUGCCCUAGUGAGGGGUGGUGGUGCGCGUCUCCUCCGCGAAUCACAGAAAAGUAUUCACCCAGCACUGCGGAACGAAGUAGAAGAGAGAGUAGAAGUAAUAAAUUCUUCUUGCACUCCUUCGCCGAGUGCGUGUGAAUUCUCUACAUCUGCACUUCUAACUAG
This 1346-nucleotide ribosomal RNA is filed under the name Stutzerimonas stutzeri. Its description in RNAcentral is "Pseudomonas stutzeri partial 16S ribosomal RNA". The stretch from base 1 to 862 matches the Rfam family "Bacterial small subunit ribosomal RNA". The record is from RNAcentral. Lineage: Bacteria; Pseudomonadati; Pseudomonadota; Gammaproteobacteria; Pseudomonadales; Pseudomonadaceae.